ACCAAUCUUAACUUUUGAUUUUGCAUUUUAUCUUUUAUAAGUUAUAUAUAAUCUUGUUUUGGCUUGUUUUAUUUGUAAAAGAAAAUCUGCCUAAUAAUUAUGCAUACCUGGAUAUAAGGCGUUUUUCACUUCCAAGUUCCAGCCUCCUCCUUUUCUAACAUGUAAUUCAUAAACGUUCACUUACCUUACUCCACUGUACAUUUAAGUUAUUAGACAAAAUACUUAGUCUGAUGAUGGUCAUCAAACACGUUAAUAUACUUUUUAAACAUUUAUAACUUCGUGUAUGUUAACGUCACACACACACACACAAAACUAAACAGCACCAUGCUGAGAGGUUUAGACUGCUGGACUGGCUGGUGGUUGCACGUUCAAUUUUAAAAAGACGAAAAAACCCUCGCUGAGUAACAGUUCACGACCCACUGUCUCACUAUGUAAAUACUGGUAAGCUUCGUUACAUUUUUUUUUUUUACAUAUAAUUUUCCCUUGCUGCUCCAUCAACUCCUUCUGACAGGGCAGUUAAUAUAGGUUAACUCUGGACACUUCUUCAUAUCGUCUAACAUUACCCACGUUAACAGCGACGAUGGAUGGGACAAUUUGAGACCAUUUGAUCGUCGUAAGACGUUUUCAUCGUUCUACCAAUUUAUAACAUAACGUUAUUUGUCAUUUCGCCACAGUUAUAGCUAGCCAUAAACAAUCUUACAAUUACUAAACUAGUAACCGGACGUGCCGUUAUCGGUUUAGCGGAAGUCGGAUGACAAAAUGCGGAAAUGCGAAAUAUUAAAAGUGGGCGGGGCGGAAUAAGGUGAAUUGAACAAGUUCAUUCAUAGAACAAGGAUGACACCCAGCGGUCGCUCAACACCGACUUCUUUCACAUGGUCCCUUUAUAAAUCCAAUUUGACGUAUUACAAAGCAUUACUUUGAACCAAAAAACUUUCUCGGACGGUUCUCCAAGACAUUUGCUUUCCAAGACAAUGGAUGAAAGUGAGUAUUUUAUCAUUUCUUGUUAUCUGAUGGUAGUGAUAUUUAAAUACUAUUAAUUGAUCAAAGUAUGUUAUGCUAUUUUUACAUUCUACGAUGUUCGUCUUUAAACCAUAUUACAUUUCAUUCCUGUAAUAAAACAUGCAUCGGUAUUUUAUUUAAUCUGCUGAUAGAGAUAUUUUAACACUAUAUUCAUAAAGUAUGUGUUAUUUGACUUAAUAUCGAUGCAUCUAAUGUCUCAAUCACCGCCAGACUGUUUGUAUGGGAAAAACACACUUUUAUUUUGAAAGGACGGUGACAUCCUGUUGAAAAUACUUUUAUUUUGAAAAUAUGACAAUAUCCUGUUGAAAAUAUUUUUAUUUUGAAAAGAAGUGACAUCCUUUCGACACGUGCUUAGCUUUCCGUGCUUCAAUUCAGUUUGCUAUGUAUAGGAUUUCAGAAAAACAAUUCUGUGUCCGUUAAAUCGACGUUUUACCACCGCGGUAUCCGUUUGUCAUCUAUGAACACGACAUCGCGGGAUGUAAGCAUUCCCGGUUAGGAAUGCACGGUUCUAUCUCAGCACCAUUUUCCUGGUUGCUAACUGCUCUCAGUGAAACGACAUAUGAUGGUGAAAUUUCUCCCCCCGGUUCAAAUAUUGAGCAGCAAGCCUUUGACGGUAUUAAUACACUGGGCGUGAUUGAUCCAGACAGCGCAGCCGAUGAUUUCAUACAAUUUAUCACCCAACCCAGCUUCCAGACAGUUAUCGAUCUCACGCAAGAUGGUGAUGAAGAUCCCACCGUCAACGUAACAGACAAACCUCACAUCCUACCUGGUUCCAAUCCGGCGCACGUCGAGAAUCCAGUAGGAUCCGGCAGCGAACCACUUCCUGGACCCAGGAUGAACAAGCUAAAAAGGAGCCUAGAAAAACUAAUCGUCCCACCUCGCCGGUCAGUCCUGGAACAGACGGUGAACCACCAAGAAAGACUUAUCGUUUUACAGCGGUGGUCCGACCUGAACCGAAUGGCGAACUACCAAGAAAGGCUUAACGUUUUACCCCGGCGAUCAGUCCUGAGAGCUCUCCAGAGAGGAAAACUCUUUGUCUGACACCACCGAACAGCCCGGGGACCAGUCCUGAGACUGCGCUGUUUUAUGCAGACUCGAGUAGAAGCCUCUUGGACGAGCGAGCGUGACGAGGUGUCAACCACCAACCUGGGUCAAACACCAUAUCCUUCUCGCUCACCGUCUUCGGAAGGAGUAGAAGUGGAAGAAGUGCCGGCGCCUCAGCCGGUUGAUGAACCAUUCGGUGAUCUGCCUCCGACACGCAGGUUGACAUAAACAACAAAUACGUCGAACUCCAUGACUUACAAGAUGAUAUUAACAACAAAUUGAUUGCAUUGCGCAGCGAGUCUCGUGACAGACAAAUCGAAACCUAUAGCAGAUUAGACGCGUUGCACAGCGAGCUACAUGCCUCGAGACGUGCAGUCGAUUCGAUGCACAGGAUCACUUUAUUCAGGAUCUGGCCAAUUAAAUAUUUAGUCGCGUCAAUGCUAUGAGAUCAGUGAUUGAUCAGCAGUUUGAUAGGAAUGAUCGUAUGGUGAGUCAAUACCAACGGGAAUUGGUGCUCAUUUUGCAUCACCUUAUUCUCACCAUCAUAGAUGAGACCACAGAGUCAAAUCGAAUAUAGAUAUAGUAUUCCGAGUAAUUCUUAUAUCGCACGUCUGCUAUGAUUUUUUUAUAUUUCAUGUAUGCUUUUUAUACUUUGUUUACAUAUAAUCCGAUAUUUCAUUUAUACUCUGAUUUUGUAAUAGUUCAUUUAUGAUUUUUUAUACUAUAUGAAAUUUGUAAUAGUUCAUGUAUGUUUUAACUCUAUGAUUUUGUAAUAGUACGUGUUUUGGUCUGAAACCAAAAAAAUGGACGGGUCAGAUGAUUUAUGUCAAUCAGACCAAUCCUCCACAGAACUGACGACAGACGAGAUCGAAAUGCUAAGUGUACUGCCGGACUUUUUAGAACAGUAUUUGUUUAAUCUAGAAUCCCCUGCUAUUUUUUUGCUAUGUAAAUCCAAAUAUGAAUUUGUUUGAUCCUCUGCUAAGCCUAGACAACGAUCCCAUUGUACAACACGGCUGCGUUUUAAACAGACCACUGGCAGCGUGUACCGAGGCUGAUCCUGACAACAUAGAGCACCCCGUCAGUAAUGAUACUUCGCAACCGUCCGCAUCAGGUAAUGUCGACCCUACUACACAGACUCGAUUAAGCUGUACAGACGUUGAUAGGUUGAUUCACGAGGGUGGGGACGUUAACGGAUAUCAUGUUUUACCACGACCUCAUUUCAAUAGCGUGCCAUUGAGAAGGACUACGAAUCUGAGAGAGAUUAACUCUACAGAUUUGGGCUCUUACCACAUCCACUUACAUGACAUGCUUACUGGAAAUGUGAAUUUCGCUAGGGAAUUUGACCAAAAUUCUCCGGUGAUCGAUAUCACAUUGACGGCUCCCAAUUUACAGACACCCGUUGGUGGGAUUUUAACCCACGGUAAUAAUUACGACAUGGAUGGGUUUAAGGAUUAAAUUUGAUAGAGUUUUACAGAGCAACGACCGGUUACUAUCUGACCGAACCGUAGAAUUUGAACCUUCCGUAGCCAUGAACAGACAAGGCGGCGGUCGUCGGAAACUCGUGGACUUGGCUGUUGAUGAGGUGAUCAAAAGGAAAAAGACGAGUUUAUUUUGCGCGACCAAUAUUUCAAAUAAUUUGUGCUUCUCCAUCUGUCUCGCCCGUUUUCUUAACCCCCAACAUCCCGAGAGUGAGUUAGAAAAACUGGAUACAGUCAUCCAAAACAGCGUCGGCUUCUCAAUCCAAGACCGAAUCGGAUUUCACAGAUAUUUCACAGAUCUAUCACCAUGAUCUUAGAAACCUACAAAAAUUCAGACGAACCCCAUCCAAAAACGGUGUUGCUGUAUCUCCACGACAACCACUACUACAUGAUAACGAGUUUGAAGGCAUUCAUCGGUUCAACAUUUGUGAGUCCAUUUUGCUACAAAUCUUACACCAACCGCAGUGCCCAUCGAUGUAAACACGCCUGCAACAUCUGUUUCGAUGCGGAAUGUUACAGGUCCCCUGUAAGAAUCAUACAUUGACCCAAUUGUUUGCGUUAUUGUAAUCGACUUAUUGUCGAUUUAAUCGACUUAUUGUUUCGAAAUGCAUUAAACAAACCCACCUCCCGGUCAGGAAAACCCCACCUGUGAUAUGAUCAAAUACUGCAAACUAUGUAAUAGACGUUACAGCGUAAAACCGGGCAAUGAGAAAACCAAACACAUAUGUGCCCCAGACAAAUGUGUGCAUUGUCGAGAGCGUCUGAUGGACGAUGGGGCACAUCAAUGCUUCAUUCAACCUCUAGAGCCUAAGGAACCGUGUGAAAAAUACGUCUUUUACGAUUUUGAAACGCGUUACGAAAACUGCCGCCACGAGGCUAAUUUUGUCUGUGCCCUGACAUUCAAAGGUCAGAAAUGUACCGCCUACGGUACGGACUGCAUCGCUAAGGUAAUCAAGCGCUUCAGACAACUCCGAUACAAAGGCUACUGCUUCAUCGCUCAUUACGCCUCCAGAUUUGACACCUUUCUAAUUCUGGAGUAUUUUUGCAAAGCAGGGAUCGUGCUUGAGGUCAUAAUGCAAGGGUGCAAACUUCUGGUGUACGACGACGCAUGUGCCCAACGAUACAUCGAUAGCUACUAAUUUUUCCCAUUCGCUCUCGCCAAAAUGCCCGCGACGUUAUACUUGACGACGACUGAAAAAGGCUAUUUCCCCCAUCUUUUCAACAGGGUGGAAAAUGAGAACUACGUCGGACCGUACCCUGACAAAAGUUCUACAACUACGAGAACAUGUCGGAUAAAGUUUGAGGCGUGGUACAGCACGGUGAAGGGCAAGUUCUUUAACUUCAAGAAAGAACUGUAUGCCUACGGCGUUAACGACGUUGUGUUAUUGCGUGAACGAUGCAUGAAGUACAGGACGUCAUUCCUACACUGCACCCAACUCGACCCUUUUGGGUUCACGACGAUCGCCAGCUGCGCAGUGGGGGUCUUCAAAACACAUUAUCUCACCAGAAACACGCUCGCCCUGAUGCAUAACAAAGCAUACAUUCAUCAGAAUAAGUCCUACUCAAGCGGUUCGAUCCAGUGGCUCGAGUAUAUAAAAAAGACUUGAAACGUGGAAGGUCAUCACGCCGUAAACCACGGCGAAGUAUAGAUCGGUAAGUACUUUUAGACUGCUACUACGAGCAGGACGGCGUCAGGCACGGCUUAGAAUGGGGGGGUGCGUCAUCCAUGGACACUGCUGUCGCUUUGAACCCAAUCAGACGCACCCCCUGUCCGGAGUACCCUACGGGGUUCUCAGGAACCAGUUUGACGAUAAGGUUGAAAUUCUCCGGAACACGUAUGGUUUGCAAAUCGAGGUUCUGUGGGAAUACGAAUGGAAUCGGAUGAAAAAGACCGAUCCCUCUGUGAUAGAAUUUAUGGCUGAUUAUUCCGCCCCAGAGAGAUUGAAUCCAUGUGAUGCGCAUUACGGAGGCCGAACCGAACGCCUAUAAACUAUACUACAAAGUGAGCGGCGAUGAGAAAAUAAGAUAUCUGGAUUUCACCAGUCUGUACCCUUUCUGUCAGGUCAGGAAAAGCUACCCAAUCGGACACCCCGAAAUCAUUUUCACAGAUUUCGAACCGAUUGAAAAUUAUUACGGACUUAUCACAGCCACCGUGUACCCUCCCCGCAACUUACUGCACGGCAUCCUCGCUUUCAGAUCCCGAGGAAAACUCAUGUUUCUGCUAUGUAGAACCUGCGCUCAAGACCAAAACCAGACCUCGAGCUUUACCCACACAGACCAGGAAAGAUCGCUUUCGGGCUGGUGGGUCAGUAUUGAGCUUAUAAAAGCCAUCGAGAAGGGCUAUGUGGUAGCCAAGAUAGAUGAGGUUUGGCAUUUUCCACAACGGUCAGACACGUUGUUUGCUGAAUACGUAAAAACCUUCUUGCGUUUGAAACAAGUUUCGGGCUACCCAUCGAACGUCGUCACGGAUGCAGAGAAAGAGGCUUACAUUCGUGACUAUUUUGAAAAAGAGGGCAUUCAACUUGACCCAGAAAAAAUCAAUAACAACGCUGCCCAAAGGGCCAAAUACAUCCUGGCUCAGACAGAAAACAUUGUGAGAGAUAAAAAAGACUCUCACAUUACAAAACAAAUCAGUCUUUAAAAGGUUCAAGGUCGUCUACGAUAAACAUUGGCUUUUAAGCGAUUAUACCACGCUUCCUUUGGGCUACUGAUCAGAUGACGAUGCACAGAGGGUCUCAGGAUGUGUCCGAUUUUGAUUUCAGACUUCAACACCCUUUCAGCUGUGUUGUAUCUGGACCGUCCAAUUCCGGAAAGUCUUAUUUUGCAAAACUUUUGUUGGAAAAAGGUUUGAAUAUCAUUUCAAAGAAAAUUGAAAAGUUUGUUGUAUGAUUGCUGGCAAACUUUGAACGAUGAUUUACUUCAAUUGUAUGACAUUACAUUUAUACAAGAAAUACCCCAGAGUCUGAAUGAUGAUGAUUUACUGCCUGUUACCACUGCUUACCUUCUCGUGGUCGACGAUCUCAAUGUUUGGUGGUGUCAGACAAAGAGUUUUCCUCUCUGGAGAGCUCUCAGGACUGAUCCCCGGGGUAAAACGAUAAGCCUUUCUUGGUAGUUCGCCGUUCGGUUCAGGUCGAACCACCGCUGUAAAACGAUAAGUCUUUCUUUGUGGUUCGCCGUCCGGUCCAGGACUGACCGGCGAGGUGGGAAGAUUCGUUUAUCUAGGCUUCUUUCUUGCUGGUUCGUCGCAGGGUCCAGGAAGUGGUUUUCCGCCGGAUCCUAUUGGAUUCUCGACGUGCUCUGGAGUGGAAUCAGGUAGGAUGUGAGGUUUGUCUGUUAUGUUGAUGGUGGGAUCUUCGUCGCCAUCUUGCGUGAGAUCGAUUACUGUCUGGAAGCCGGGUUGGGCGAUAAAUUGUAUGAAAUCUAAAAAUAAAAUUUGAUUUCUUAUAAGCAUAAAAGAAAUCUAAAAUUUACAUUUCUCAUAAAAAUGUUGGAGAUGGAUCUUGUUUUACCAUCGGCUGUGCUGUCUGGAUCAAUCGCGCCCACUGUGAAAAAAAAAAAUUACAUUUAUAAAAAGACAAAAUUAAAAUACGUUCAGUUUAAUUUAUAAAAAGAAUAGUUCAUAUGUACUUAUGUGUAUUAAUACAGUCAAAGGCUUGCUGCUCAAUAUUUGAACCUGAGAUAAAAAAUAAAAAACCUGUUAUGAUUUAAAACACAUGGAGAGGGUUUUUAUUUGCUAGUUUAAUGGAGCACACACACACAGACAGACUGUGACAAAGAAAUCAUGAUGUCAUAACAUUAAACCGCAAGCAGAUGGCACAAUUUUCACUAUAACACGGUGUCAUAACAUUAAACCUCCGCAGAUGGCACAAUUUUCACUAUAACACUGUGUCAUACCAUUAAACUGCCGGAGAUGGCACAAUUUUCACUAUAACAGGAUCAUUUCACCACAGACUCACCGGGGGGAGCCAUUUCACCAUCAUAUGUCGUUUCACUGAGAGCAGUUAGCAACCGGGAAAAUGGUGCUGAGAUAGAACCGUGCAUUCCUAACCGGGAGCGCUUACACCCCGCAAUGUCGUGUUCAUAGAUGACAAACGGAUAACGCGGUGGUAAAACGUCGAUUUAACAGACACAGAAUUGUUUUUCUGAAAUCCUAUACAUAGCGAACUGAAUUGAAGCACGGAAAGCUAAGCACGUGUCGAAAGGAUGUCACGUCUUUUCAAAAUAAAAGUAUUUUCAACAGGAUGUCACCAUCUUUUCAAAAUAAAAGUUUUUUUUCAUACAAACAGCCUGGCGGUGAUUGGGACAUUAGAUGCAUCGAUAUUAAGUCAAAUAACAUACUUUAUGAAUAUAGUGUUAAAAUAUCUCUAUCAGCAGAUGAAAUAAAAUACAGAUGCAUGUUUUAUUACAGGAAUUAAAUGUAAUAUGGUUUAAAGAUGAACAUUGUAGAAUGUAAAAAUAGCAUAACAUACUUUGAUCAAUUAAUAUUUAAAUAUCACUACAAUCAGAUAAAAUAAGACAGCAAAAACUUGAAGAAAAUUACAGGAAUUAAAUGUAAUAUGGUUUAAAGGCAUCAUAUACUGUAAAAAUAGCAUAACACACUUUGAUCAAUUAAUAGUAUUUAAAUAUCACUACCAUCAGAUAACAUGAAAUGAUAAAAUACUCACUUUUAUCCAUUGUCUUGGAAAGCAAAUGUCUUGGAGAACCGUCCGAGAAAGUUUUUUGGUAUAAAGUGAUGCUUUGUAACACGCGAAAAUGGAUUUAUAAAGGGACCAUGUGAAAGAAAUCGGUGUUGAGUGACCGCUAAGUGUCAUCCUUGUUCUAUGAAUGAACUUGUUCAAUAGGUGGGAAGCUGAGCAUGGUUCACGCGUGUCAUAAUAAAUUUGUGGGCAUGAGAGAUGGUAGACGCUGAUCGUCGUAAUUCAUAGAUGCACCCGUCAGAAAACUGUAAAAAACAUGGUACUCCUGCAUGAGAUACGUUGGUUUUAAUUAACAAUGUCUUUAAAGAUAUUAUGAUUGGGUAGUAAAUUUGGACGAGAGUGAACUAUAGCGUGCAAACACAGACACUGGGGUCAGGAAAAAGGUGAUGUGAAAACAACUCCUUCAGAAAACAUUAUUACAACUUUAAAAUUUAGGGAUUAUAAUUUGAAAAUAAUUUUAACCAUAACAAAACAUUGGCCGUGUCUCAUUGUGAUCGCUGAUUCAGAGAGAGUCUGACAGACGGAGCUGCGAGCCUGUUUCUCACAAAGCUGAAGCUUCUGUCUAAAAUAAGGUAGGUGGAUUGGUUUCAGUAAGCUUUUUAUAAUUCUUUUAAAGAACAGAAUGUUUUUCAACCUUAGUUAAAUUGCUUUAGAUUAUGUAUAAUAUAUAAAGGAUAGAAUAUAAAGAACAGUGUGUUUUCAUAGGGUUUUAUAUAUAAAUGUUAAAUAACUGAAAUGUUUUUCAACCUUUAAUUGUUUUAGAUUAUAUAAAUUAUAGACUGUUUUAUAUAUAAAUGUGAAAUAACUGAAAUGUUUUUCAACCUUUAAUUGUUUUAGAUUAUGUAUAUUAUAUAAAUUAUAGAAUAUAAAGAACGGCAUGUUUUCAACUUUAGCAUGAAAAUUUAUUAUAUUAUAUAAAUUAUAUAAAUUAUAGAAUGUUUUAUAUAUAUAUAUAAAUGUGAAAUGACUGUCUGACAUCCACUCCCAUUACAUUCCUGAGCAGUAUAAAAAUGGGGUCGGUGUCAGACAGUUCUCUCUGUAUGCAGCCAACCGCACACACACACACACACACACAAACAUACACACACAUAACCCAUAUAACUGGGACAAAGUUCAAACAACCGGCAAAUAGCUUCUGUCAAAACCACAUGAUCGAUGUGGGGAGGUGUGGGGAGGGUUAGUAUACCGUAAAACUACCCGUCAAAAACUAUGAUUUAGAACUAACUAGGUCAAUAGGGUAAAGGCUUCUGUCAAAACCACAUGAUCGAUGCGUGGGGAGGGUUCGUAUACCAUAAAACUACCCGUCAAAAACUAUGAUUUAAAACUAACUAGGUCAAUAGGGUAAAAGCUUCUGUCAAAACCAAAUGAUCGAUGCGUGGGAAGGGGUCAAUAGGUUAAUCGAUGAACUCAUUCGGAAAGUUCAACCCAUCCAUCAUAAGGUUACCGGAAGUUCAACCUGUCAAAAAGGUCAAAGGUCAAAGUCGUAAAUCAUCUUGACACAAAGUGUAUCAUAAUCACUACUUGUACUUUUUUAGCUGAAAAAUAAUGCUACAGUUGGAGGAAAACACAGCGUAUUUCAUUUCAUUCAUCAUCAAGUGUGCUCAUUCCUGUUGAUGUCAUUAAUCUGGCAACCUGUGUGUAACGUCAAGUCUGAGGAGGAGGGGCCGUGUAAAAACAAACCUUUUCCAAUAUUUCGAAUUUGGACUGCAAUACCUAGUUCAAUCACUCUGUGUAAAUCCUACAUACAGCACCUUUUAGAAAAUGUGCAAUUAAUUAGUAAAUAUUUUUAAUUGAUUGACAGCACUGAUUAUUAAUCUGCUGUCUUUAUUGUUAUUUUUCAGCCAGUUCUCUAAGAAGAGACUUUUAUGCUUAAUAUUUGCUCAAUUAUUACAGUUUUCUUGAGAAAUGUAACAUAUUUUUUCUGUUUAAGGUGAAAUCGCAGCUAUUGUGAUUGGAUCUCUGUGUGGAUGUAUAGGCUUGGCUGUUAUCAUCUGCUUUAUUGUGAAAACCAUUCGAUCGCAAGAUAUGGC
Molecule: RNA transcript, 10269 nt
Organism: Carassius auratus (goldfish)
Lineage: Eukaryota; Metazoa; Chordata; Actinopteri; Cypriniformes; Cyprinidae
Gene: ca14
Gene name: carbonic anhydrase XIV
Exons: 6
Source: RefSeq, a predicted model, not a curated record